AGCGAACGCUGGCGGCAGGCCUAACACAUGCAAGUCGAACGAACCUUUCGGGGUUAGUGGCGGACGGGGGUGUAACACGUGGGAACGUGCCUUUAGGUUCGGAAUAACUCAGGGAAACUUGUGCUAAUACCGAAUGUGCCCUUCGGGGGGAAGAUUAAUCGCCUUUAGAGCGGCCCGCGUCUGAUUAGCUAGUUGGUUGAGGUAAUGGCUCACCAAGGCGACGAUCAGUAGCUGGUCUGAGAGGAUGAUCAGCCACAUUGGGACUGAGACACGGCCCAAACUCCUACGGGAGGCAGCAGUGGGGAAUCUUGCGCAAUGGGGGAAAGCCUGACGCAGCCAUGCCGCGUGAAUGAUGAAGGUCUUAGGAUUGUAAAAUUCUUUCACCGGGGACGAUAAUGACGGUACCCGGAGAAGAAGCCCCGGCUAACUUCGUG
This 434-nucleotide ribosomal RNA is filed under the name uncultured bacterium. RNAcentral describes it as "partial 16S ribosomal RNA". It matches the Rfam family "Bacterial small subunit ribosomal RNA", at positions 29 to 507 of the family's 1533-position model. The record is from RNAcentral.